CUCAUAUCUAAGCAAUGAAACAGGAAGUAUGCCCCUUUUUCUCCUUCCUCCUCCAGCGGCAGGAUGUGAUCCACCAGCAAGGAGGGACGCCAAUAAGGUGUCCGGAUCUUCCACUGGGUAUCAGAUGUAUGCUAACGAAGCUGGAAGACCAUGAUAACACAAACCUUCUACAGCCCAUUUGCUGCGAGACUCCUUCAGGAGCCAGAAGAAGGAGUCAGGUCCCCUGGUCUGGGAUCCCCAAUGGUUGUAAGCUAUCAUGGGUGCUGGGAACUGAAGUCCAGUCUUUGAAUGGUCUACGAGUCAAGAUGCUCAAUGAAGAGACAGGAGGCCACAGGUGGAGACAGAGGCAAAAGGAGGAUCAUGUGAAGAGCAACCUGUUGUUAUUGAGCACCGUGAGAGGAAGAUCCAGGAGGUCAGUGCAAGAGUCAAUGAGCACUCUACAGAGCACUGCAGCUAUCAGUGAGAACUGUGUGAGGAGCCUGGACAUCACUGAUGCAACAUUCAGAGAACACUGCCGCCUGUCGAGCACCCCUGCAGUCAGUGAGCACCCUCUGUGGAGCACAAUUCUCUCAACAAUGGUGGCAGCCUGGAGGCCCAGGAGGAUGGGGCCCGCGCUGGUGACUGGAAUGGGGUCUACCGGGGAGGCAGCGGCAGUGGCAGCUGGGAGGGCGGAGUGCGCGCACCUGGUAUCUUCCGGUGGCCCACCGUGCUGGAGGUAGGACUGGUCAUCGAGGAGCCCACCAGCCUCGUGGACCUGCUCCCCAUCCUAAAUUACGUGUGCCGCGGGAACCUCCCCCAGGACAGAGUGACUGAUGGCAGGAAUCUGAUGCGGCUGCUGGAGGGUUGUGCAGCGCUCAGACCAUGAGUUCCUGUUCCACUACUGUGGCCUUUUCCUACACAGCGUCCGGUGGCACUAGAAGGAUUGAGACACUAUUUUCUAAUUAUUCUAAACUAAUAGAAUUUUAUUUUCUCAAUAUAUUAUUUAUUAACGUUUCUUCAGCUAUAAAAU
Molecule: long non-coding RNA, 1009 nt
Filed under: Cricetulus griseus (Chinese hamster)
Lineage: Eukaryota; Metazoa; Chordata; Mammalia; Rodentia; Cricetidae
Description: lncRNA (ENSCGRG00015041051.1)
Source: RNAcentral